GAAGCCAGCAAGACAGUAUGGGUGCUUCUAAUUUGUGGUCUCCAGAGAGGAAAUUUUGUCUAAGAAUUUUUUUUUUUGAGAGAUCAGUUGGACAAGAACAUCCCUUCAAGUUACUAGAAGAAGAAUGGACCUUUUUGAUGUCACUGUUAUUCCAGAAAGAAUCUCUGGCAUGCUCCCCUCCAGCUAACGUCAGAAAGAAAAGGGGGCCCUUGCAAAUCACUCCAGCAAAAAAAAGUUAGAGACCAAGACAUGACUGCAAGCACAAAGGUGGACAUAUGCCCAAGACUUGCCAAUCAUUUUAUCCCCUGAACCUAGACAUUAUGGUCAUCUGGUCAUAAAAUGUGUUCAAAGAUAAAUGCCU
This 361-nucleotide long non-coding RNA is filed under the name Sus scrofa (pig). Its description in RNAcentral is "lncRNA (ENSSSCG00055011389.1)". Lineage: Eukaryota; Metazoa; Chordata; Mammalia; Artiodactyla; Suidae. The record is from RNAcentral.